Molecule: ribosomal RNA, 189 nt
Filed under: uncultured bacterium
Lineage: Bacteria
Description: partial 16S ribosomal RNA
Rfam family: Bacterial small subunit ribosomal RNA
Source: RNAcentral
CCUACGGGAGGCAGCAGUGAGGAAUAUUGGUCAAUGGGCGAGAGCCUGAACCAGCCAAGUAGCGUGCGGGACGACGGCCCUAUGGGUUGUAAACCGCUUUUGCAGGGGAAUAAAUUGGCGGACGCGUCCGCCUUUGCAUGUACCCUGAGAAUAAGGACCGGCUAAUUCCGUGCCAGCAGCCGCGGUAAU